UAGUCCUAGCUGUAAACGAUGAGCACUAGAUGGGAGGGGGCUUGCCCUGUCCGGUCGCAGCGAAGUGAUAAGUAACCCACCUGGGGAGUACGUUCGCAAGAAUGAAACUCAAAGGAAUUGACGGGGGCCCGCACAAGCGGUGGAGCAUGUGGUUUAAUUCGAUGAUACGCGAGGAACCUUACCAGGGCUUAAAUGUAGUAUGACAGGUUUAGAGAUAGACUUUUCUUCGGACAUAUUACAAGGUGCUGCAUGGUUGUCGUCAGCUCGUGCCGUGAGGUGUCAGGUUAAGUCCUAUAACGAGCGCAACCCCUGUUGUUAGUUGCCAGCGAGUAAUGUCGGGAACUCUAGCAAGACUGCCGGUGCAAACCGCGAGGAAGGUGGGAUGACGUCAAAUCAUCACGGCCCUUACGUCCUGGGCCACACACGUGCUACAAUGGUAGGUACAGAGAGCAGCCACUUCGUGAGAAGGAGCGAAUCUAUAAAACCUAUCACAGUUCGGAUC
RNAcentral lists this ribosomal RNA (502 nucleotides) under uncultured bacterium. RNAcentral's name for it is "bacterial SSU rRNA". It matches the Rfam family "Bacterial small subunit ribosomal RNA", at positions 791 to 1299 of the family's 1533-position model. The record is from RNAcentral.